GUAGGUUUAUGUUGAAAUAUAGCAAAUAUUUGUGUUAGGUUUUUUUUUAAUAGAUUAUUUUCUUUUUUUUUUUUUCUUCUCAAUUGGAUCCUCUUUCACAGAGCAUCGACGGUGGAAAGUUGUUGUAAUAGAUUUCCAGUUUUACUAUGAGAAAUCAUGAAUUCUCUCAUUCCCAAUUUGCUUUUUAUUAGCCCUAAUUUGGUGAUGUUUUGAUUUUAGAUUUCAGAAAACCUUUUUUAUUUAUGUUGUAAUUAAACAAUUUUCAUCCAAGACCCUCUACAUAUGUCACGUUUUUUAAGUAUUUCACCUUACAUUGACA
This 319-nucleotide long non-coding RNA is filed under the name Vigna radiata. RNAcentral describes it as "long non-coding RNA (VRAD_LNC002369)". The record is from RNAcentral. Lineage: Eukaryota; Viridiplantae; Streptophyta; Magnoliopsida; Fabales; Fabaceae.